Molecule: ribosomal RNA, 404 nt
Filed under: uncultured bacterium
Lineage: Bacteria
Description: bacterial SSU rRNA
Rfam family: Bacterial small subunit ribosomal RNA
Source: RNAcentral
AGAGUUUGAUCCUGGCUCAGAUUGAACGCUGGCGGCAUGCUUUACACAUGCAAGUCGAACGGUAACAGGGAGCUUGCUCCGCUGACGAGUGGCGAACGGGUGAGUAAUGCAUCGGAACGUGCCUAUUUGUGGGGGAUAACGUAGCGAAAGUUACGCUAAUACCGCAUACGCCCUGAGGGGGAAAGCGGGGGAUUCGUAAGAACCUCGCGCAAUUAGAGCGGCCGAUGUCGGAUUAGCUAGUUGGUGGGGUAAAGGCUCACCAAGGCGACGAUCCGUAGCGGGUCUGAGAGGAUGAUCCGCCACACUGGGACUGAGACACGGCCCAGACUCCUACGGGAGGCAGCAGUGGGGAAUUUUGGACAAUGGGCGAAAGCCAGGUCCAGCCAUGCCGCGUGAGUGAAGAA